GAUCCUGGCUCAGGAUGAACGCUAGCUACAGGCUUAACACAUGCAAGUCGAGGGGCAGCAUGGUCUUAGCUUGCUAAGGCUGAUGGCGACCGGCGCACGGGUGAGUAACACGUAUCCAACCUGCCGUCUACUCUUGGCCAGCCUUCUGAAAGGAAGAUUAAUUCAGGAUGGCAUCAUGAGUUCACAUGUCCGCAUGAUUAAAGGUAUUUUCCGGUAGACGAUGGGGGUA
This 229-nucleotide ribosomal RNA is filed under the name uncultured bacterium. RNAcentral's name for it is "partial 16S ribosomal RNA". It matches the Rfam family "Bacterial small subunit ribosomal RNA", at positions 15 to 233 of the family's 1533-position model. The record is from RNAcentral.